UCCUGCCGUUGGAUCAGU
This 18-nucleotide ribosomal RNA is filed under the name Tritrichomonas foetus. Its description in RNAcentral is "partial small subunit ribosomal RNA". The record is from RNAcentral. Lineage: Eukaryota; Parabasalia; Tritrichomonadida; Tritrichomonadidae.